GUUCUGCUCUUCAGCAGAAAUUGGAACUUUCUCUAAAUGAUCAGCAGAAUGUGACAGUAAAUUGGGGUAGCAGUCUUUUGACUUCAGAGCUUGUCCCUUUGGAAACAGUGUUUCCCAUUUAAAAGAUGCAGUUACAAACACUGGUCCUAAGGAUGCCCUAAUUCCAAAUACAAAGCUAAUUCCAUCUAAACCCUUUAUGAAAGGUUAAAGAUUAGGACAGCCUCAAAGAAGCAUCUUAAUGGAAGACUCAUUCAAGUAAUGAAGGAAACGUGCAGAGUGAUCUAUCAAUGCAAUAAAAAAACUGCUUUACAAACGGUGAUGACUGCCUGAAGGUACCAAGCAGGCCCCAGCAAACACCAGCGCAUGAUUCAACUCGGCUUUCUAAGGAGGAGGACUGCAAAUCUGGGCUUCUAGGAAAGACAAUGCUAGAGAGAACAAAAUGUGGCCAUGCCAGGAUUAACAAAACUGCCUUCUCUGGUCAAAGGAAUCAUGAAAAAGCUAAAAAGUUGAUUCUUAAAGAAACUGCAGGCCCUCCAGUUUCUCUUUCAUAUUCUUCAAAUAUUGUGGAAAAGGUUCCCAGAACAUCACCACUUGCUUUAAAGAAUAAAACAGUGAAGGAGACUGAACAGCAGCCAAAAAAGGAGGAAAAUCAGGGGAAUCUGAUGGUCUAGAAGCCAAUAAAAGACUGUUAAGAAUGGAGAGAGGGAAAUCUUCAUCACCUUUUGAGACUGAAGAUAUUUUAUUAUGUUUUAGAGAAGACAGAUCUGGACAUCACUAACUCACAAGAUGGAGGGAAGGAAAGUCAACUAGUCAGAGCCUAGGUGGUACCCACCUCACUGUUGUAAUGGACCACAACAAUGAUGUCGCUUGCAGGACACUUCCCUGGGGGAAGACUCUGGCAACUUGGCUGCUCACUAUGUUCUUCUUUUCAUAUAAAAAAGCAGGAGACACAGUCUCCAGCAACCCAAAUAAUUAAGUACUCAUAAACUUUCAGUUAAAAGUCACAUAAAUUUGAGGAAAGUUGAGUCACAUUAAAUUGUACUGACUUCUGUAGAUGACUAGGAAACAUUUUUAAAAUGCAGCUUGUAGAUCUGCAUAAUGGAAAAAUCAAAAAAAGUAAAUAUACCUUAGGAGUUUUAAGCCCAAAGGGAAAUAUCAGUAGACCGUUUUUAACUGCAGGUUCUCAUCCC
Molecule: long non-coding RNA, 1190 nt
Filed under: Fukomys damarensis (Damara mole-rat)
Lineage: Eukaryota; Metazoa; Chordata; Mammalia; Rodentia; Bathyergidae
Description: lncRNA (ENSFDAG00000026449.1)
Source: RNAcentral